Molecule: ribosomal RNA, 463 nt
Filed under: uncultured bacterium
Lineage: Bacteria
Description: SSU rRNA
Rfam family: Bacterial small subunit ribosomal RNA
Source: RNAcentral
AGAGCGAACGCUGGCGGCAGGCCUAAUACAUGCAAGUCGAACGAACCCUUCGGGGUUAGUGGCGGACGGGUGAGUAACACGUGGGAACGUGCCCUUUGGUUCGGAACAACUCAGGGAAACUUGAGCUAAUACCGGAUGAGCCCUUCGGGGGAAAGAUUUAUCGCCAUUGGAGCGGCCCGCGUCUGAUUAGCUAGUUGGUGAGGUAAAGGCUCACCAAGGCUACGAUCAGUAGCUGGUCUGAGAGGAUGAUCAGCCACAUUGGGACUGAGACACGGCCCAGACUCCUACGGGAGGCAGCAGUGAGGAAUAUUGCUCAAUGGACGAAAGUCUGAAGCAGCAACGCCGCGUGAGGGAUGAAGGUGCUCUGCAUCGUAAACCUCUGUAGUCGGGAAAAAUGACGAACGAUCGUUCGUUUGAUGGUACCCGAAAAGUAAGGAUCGGCUAACUACGUGCCAGCAGCCGC